CCCUUAGAUGUCCUGGGCCGCACGCGCGCUACACUGACAUGUUCAACAAGCCUCCUAGUUCGACAGGAUUUGGGAAAUCUUUGAACGCAUGUCGUGAUAGGGAUAGAUCAUUGCAAUUAUUGAUCUUGAACGAGGAAUUCCUAGUAAACGCGAGUCAUCAGCUCGCAUUGAUUACGUCCCUGCCCUUUGUACACACCGCCCGUCGCACCUACCGAUUGAAUGUUUCGGUGAAGAUUCCGGAUAGGACUUUUUUGAUUUAUUCCAAUUCUGUCUUAAAAGCUAUCUAAACCUCAACAUUUAGAGGAAGGUGAAGUCGUAACA
RNAcentral lists this ribosomal RNA (321 nucleotides) under uncultured eukaryote. Its description in RNAcentral is "partial 18S ribosomal RNA". It matches the Rfam family "Eukaryotic small subunit ribosomal RNA", at positions 1470 to 1796 of the family's 1831-position model. The record is from RNAcentral.